GAAAAUUAUUAUAAAGGAAAAAAAUUUUGGAAAUAUUAGUUAGAAAAAUAUAUUUUAUUACAUUUGAUAAACCUUGCUGGUUUAAUUUAUUAAAACUUAUAAAAAUAUGUUGCAAAUUAAUUCUUUAUUCCUAUGGAUGCUUGUUUUAACUUUCGUUUUUUCAUCGAUAUUACAAGUCCGACCUGAAGAAGGCUUAGAAGUUCAAUCUAAUGAUCAUCGAGAAACAACUAUAUCCAAUUUGGGUACUGUUAGAUGUUUUCAUGUAACACGAAUUAGGACAACUACAAUUGGUCGAUUUCUGAAACAUAUUGGUCGUAGAUGAAUCUUUCAACUUGUACGAGGAGGCUUUAGGAUAAUAAUUUCAGCAUUGGGGACAUAAUUCACUACUAAAUUUUUAUUAUUUAUAUUAUUUUGAUGAUAUUUUAAAAAAUUAUAAAAUGUAUGAUUAUUUAGAUAUUGUUUUUUGUUUCUAAUUUCGCUAACAAAUAAAAGAGUAUUUAAAAUUUU
This is a long non-coding RNA of Gordionus sp. m RMFG-2023, 507 nucleotides long. RefSeq lists it as uncharacterized. The record is from RefSeq and is a predicted model, not a curated record. The transcript has 4 exons. NCBI's taxonomy places the organism in Eukaryota, Metazoa, Nematomorpha, Gordioida, Chordodea, Parachordodidae.